RNAcentral lists this long non-coding RNA (3348 nucleotides) under Cottoperca gobio. RNAcentral describes it as "lncRNA (ENSCGOG00000023309.1)". Lineage: Eukaryota; Metazoa; Chordata; Actinopteri; Perciformes; Bovichtidae. The record is from RNAcentral.
AUUCUUUUCUCGAGAGUUAUGCACAAGCUCUUACACCUACACUGACAGUGAAUCCACCGGUGAUCUCAGAGACAGACUCAGUCACUCUGCACUGUCAGACUCCAUCAUCUGUUCCUGUGUCUCAGUGUUAUUUCUACACUUUAAGUGGAGGAACUGUCAAAGACUUCUCUUGUCUGAAGACACUGACAGGAACUGAGCUGCUGGAGAUGUCACGUCAGAGUUCACCUGCUGAGGUUAAAGUUACAUGUUUUUACACUGUAAAGCUUGGAGACAUAAAUUCUCCAUCUCCACACAGUGACACAUCCUCCGUCACCAUACACACUCUUCUUCCACCUACACUGACAGUGAAUCCACCGGUGAUCUCAGAGACAGACUCAGUCACUCUGCACUGUCAGACUCCAUCAUCUGUUCCUGUGUCUCAGUGUUAUUUCUACACUUUAAGUGGAGGAACUGUCAGAGUCUUCUCUUGUCUGAAGACACUGACAGGAACUGAGCUGCUGGAGAUGUCACAUCAGCGUUCACCUGCUGAGACCAAAAGUAAACGUCACUGCUUUGCAGGGUGGUUAUGAUGAAACCUACAGUAUCGUCACCUAUGAAUGCAACACUGAGUGACAACAGCAGCACCUCCGAGAAGCUACAUCAGCCCUGAGAGAGACCGUGUACAGCCCUCUAUAAAGUCAAUUUGAAAUUCAAAACGUUGUUUUUCUUGCAUCUUUUUCUUACUUAUGUACAAGUUAAUUGAUCUUAACAGUAUUUACAUCAUUACCCACAAGAGCAGACGUUAGAAUGGUGAUAUGGCUCAGUUGAACUUUAUUGAAUUGAUAGUUUGGUCAGAACAUAACAUGUAUCAAUGCUUUGAAUAAUAAAAUCCAUGUACACAAUUAUUUAAAAAGUCCCUUUCAUUUCAGAAGUUGAAGUUCAGGUUCAUGUUUAUUUAUACUGCGCUUUAAAAACAUAAUUUGUACCAAAGUGCUUUACCCUGAAGGGUUUAUUCACACAUUUACACAAAUUCAUAAAACUCACAUACACAGAAAACACAUUAAAAACCGCCAAACAUGAUUUAAUACAAUACAAAUGAGAAACCAUCACAGAGACAUAUUUAAGCACAACUGCAUGCAAGAAAACAAUAUUUUUAUGAUGACAUUUUACCAACUAGAUGAAAUAACACACAGCCUGUUUGGAGAUAUGAAGUUAAAUGGUUGAAGUUUCAGGACAAACAUGGAAAAAAAACGACACGUUUACUUCGAGCAGAUCAUGAACAAAAAGUGAGCAGUUUAAAAAAAGACUUUUAGUGAAGACACACACACACACACACACACACACACACACACACACACCACACACACACACACAAGCCUCCAGUGUGGUCGAUUCUAUCUAAGUAAACACACAUAUACUAGGUACUUUAAAAAGGAUGUGAGGUUUGUGUAUCUGACGUGAAUAAUUCCGAUGCUAGCUGUGGUUUUCAUGAGAGCAAGUUUUUCAAAAUGUCACUUAGGUAAAGUGAAAGUUCACACAUUGAGACACACAAAUAUCAUCUUUUGAGGACCGUGGACAGCCUCAGCUUCAUCAUGGCAGGACGCCUGCUGUUUGUCUUCCUCAUGUGUAAGUUAAACCUAUAUAUUUAUUCACUAUUGAUGUAAAUGAUUACAAACCAAUGCAGGCAAGCAAAUUAGUUAUUAGUUAUAAAUAUUUUAGUAUAUACAUACUCACAUAUAUAUAUAUAUAUAUAUAUAUAUAUAUAUAUAUAUAUAUAUAUACAUACAGCAAUCGUCAAUAUGAGUUGGACAAUAUCGUCAAAGAUCCAACAUUAUGCAUCCUUAGUUUCCACCUCUGGUUGACAGAGUUACACGGUGGUAGAGUUUUAAUCCUUCUACAUGUUGUUGAAGUCAUUAAUUAGUUAUUAUUACAUCUAUUUACUUUGUUAACAUGUUGUAUUUCCAACAGAUUCCUUUCGCGAGAUUCAAGCCCAAAGUCAGACUCUGAUCGAUUAUCUUUCAUGUCCAGUUGUUUUCACUGUGGGACGUUUAUUACAUUCUGUUAUUCAUUUUGACUAUUUUUACAAACUGUUGGGUUGUACAAUAGAUUUUCCCCCUUUCCUCUAAAAUCAACAUUCCCCAUUAAGAAUAUUACCAUAGUAAUUUAAUUAUUUAGUAUUUGAUAUCAUUUGUUUUCAUUAUCUUUAUGCAGCUGUUAAGUAUGUGAUAUAACACAUGUCUGCCUCUAAAUUUCAGCUCUUCUUCCACCUAAUAGCGUCACCAGCUGUGAUUACAGUUUGGGAAGUGAACCAAACUCUUUGUCUCCUCGUAGUGAUGGAUACAGCUUGACUGGUAAGUCAGAGAAGACACGAAACAUCACAAAGUAUUUCUCCACAAUUGAGUCUAUUGCAUGUUAUUUGAAAUGUUUAAAUAUGACACUAUGACAUCACACUAAGAAUCAAGUGAAUUUAUCUCUACUUCUAUCACACCAGUGAAACCAACAUCAGGUGACACAAAUACUCAUCAUUUAAACUGACUUUUAAAUCUUUUUUUCUUUAAGGCAUUUUCUUCCCUUAUAUUGAAUUAGAUAAUAUGGAAAUUAAAAAUUAAAACGAGGAUUCGAGAAAUGCAGCUAUGAUUUUUUAAAACUUUAUAAAAAUGUUACUCUGCGGUUCUCAGUGGUUACCACUGAAAACGCCGUUCCGACCCAUUGCAUUGUUGCAGAAGUACAACACCUACCCAGUUCCCCUUAGCACAGUUUGCGUUUUUAGCACAGUUCACGUUGUUAGAACAGUCCACGUUGUUAGCACAGUUCACGUUUUUAGCACAGUCCGCGUUGUUAGCACAUUCCGCGUUUUUAGCACAGUCUUACGUUUUUAGCACAGUCCAAGUUGUUAGCAGAGUCCACGUUGUUAGCACAGUCCGCGUUGUUAGCACAGUCCGCGUUGUUAGCACAAUCCACGUUGUUAGCACAGUCCACGUUGUUAGCACAGUCCACGUUGUUAGCACAGUCCAUGUUGUCAGACAGUCCACGUUUUUAGCACAGUCUUACGUUUUUAGCACAGUCCAAGUUGUUAGCAGAGUCCACGUUGUUAGCACAGUCCGCGUUGUUAGCACAGUCCGCGUUGUUAGCACAAUCCACGUUGUUAGCACAGUCCACGUUGUUAGCACAGUCCACGUUGUUAGCACAGUCCACGUUGUCAGACAGUCCACGUUGUUCGCACAGUCCACGUUGUUAGCACAGUCCGCGUUGUUAGCACAGUCCACGUUGUUAGCACUGUCCGCUUUGUUAGCACAGUCCACGUUGUUAGCACAGUCCACGUUGUUAGCACAGUCCGCGUUUUUAGCACAGUCCACGUUGUUAGCACAG